GCGGUCAUAAGAGGAACGCUAUUGCGGAGGUGAUACGUGUUGGCCACCACCAGGAACGAAACGAUGGCUAGCUCUCUAUCUCACGCUCGCAACAAAAAUGCAAGGGAUGCACACUAGCUUUUCUUGCCGCCGGCGACGAACGCCGUGGAGCCGAUAGCUCCGGUAUCUCAGCACUUGUAUUUCACUGGACUCGGCCAAAAUGAACAGAGGGGCGCAGGGGCUACAAAUAGACCACGGACUUGCCAGGAGCACUCCUCCACGUCCGGCCUUCCUGCCAUGAUCCGCAUGACAUGCACAACGUCGUCGUGAGCCAUUCGCUCUCCCGGACAACGUGGCCAUCUUCAUGCAGAUCGGCACCCGCGCACACGACCCACUCCGUCCACUAACAAACUAGCGAUUGCUACGUAACUACCUACACACACGCAUGUACACGACAUGCAGCUGAACCUGAACCUAUGGACCUAACCAGACUCAAACAAACUGCAACGCACGCACGCGACCUGACUCAGACGCGCCACCACGAACACACCAUGGCACGGCACACUCGCACGCCACCAUGAACACGCCGUGGCGGGUUUAUUCCUAACAAUCUCCUCCUAAACUCGACACGGCGG
RNAcentral lists this long non-coding RNA (614 nucleotides) under Setaria italica (foxtail millet). RNAcentral's name for it is "long non-coding RNA (SITA_LNC000977)". The record is from RNAcentral. Lineage: Eukaryota; Viridiplantae; Streptophyta; Magnoliopsida; Poales; Poaceae.